CUCGAACAGCUCAGUUGACCAUGUGGGAUCCAGGCCUUCUGCGGGCCCCGACAACGGACAUUUAUUUCUCACAGUUCUGGAGCCCGGGAGGUCUGAGAUCACGGUGCUGGCAGCUGGGUGUCUGGUGAGGGCCUGUCCCUGGCUGGUAGAUGGUGCCGGGAGCUCCGUCUGGGAACGUGUGACGUCCAGAGGAAAGCAUCCAGCCAGGGUCAGGCCGGGUGGGGCAGCCAGAGGCCUUAAAGGGACCGUGGACUCACCGCCUUAGUCACAGGAAAGGAACUCAGAUUCGACCGAGCAUAAGACGAAAACCCCAUCCAGAGCUGCGGUGGAGCCCUGCCGUGACUGCACUGAGACUCAGGUCCUCCAGAACCACCGAGUAUGGGCCAGGGCCACUGUCUGAGGAUGGGGACUUGCCUCCCUGCUCCCGCCAAACCGGGGUCUCCACUGUCAAGUUAGAGUAAACACAGUUCUGCCAUCUGGUGCUCCACGUGUCGGUGCUAAUGUCUCAGCACAUGCAGUCUGGACCCGACACCGUGACCCUGGCUGUGUGGGGGACCGUCCAGGCCUGUCACAGAGAAUGGCCCUGUGCCCUGGUGGCCUGACCGAGGCUGCUGGAGCUGGGUAAGGAGCCGGUGGUUUAGGAGACCAGGUCCCGGUCGCCCAUGGCCGGCUUUUGCUUUUGCGGCUCUCUUGGGGUGCAGAGGUCUUCCAACCCAGGUCUUAACAGAAGCGGAGCAGCAUGUGUGACGCAGAGGCCACCGAGUCUUCAUAACUGGGCACCAGGUGGCCUUGCCAGACCUCUGCCUCUGCCCCCCCUUCUGGGGGCUGCCCAAGAUGCCCCAUGCUGUUUACGAGCCUGGCGAGGUUCUCCACUUUCGUAGAGUUAAAGAUAAUCACCCCCCUUUGGGGUCUAAAGGUGCAGCAGCUGAGAUCCGGGGCGAGGCGGGGAGUAGGGGAAGGCAUUGAGGGCAGCAGAGCCGGUCCCGCCCCCACAGUCUCACGGGCCACCUUCUCUCCUGGGCCUCGGGCUCUAGCACAGUCCUGACCCGGCCAGGUGCAGCCUGCAAUGUUGCGUGGAUGCCUACUCUGCACUCCCACCCCUCCUGGUUGCCCAGGCCCUGCCUGACCAGCCAGCUGGUCCCACAAGCAGUCAGUCUCCCGGUGCUGGGUGGGAGGGGAGGGCGCCACACAGGCUCUGCACAGGGCUUCACCCCGCCCACUCGCCCACUUGUGCCGUGCCGUGCCGUGCCGGUCCUUCCUGCCCAACCCACCUGGUGACCUGGCGAGCCACGAACUGCCCCAGGAGGUUCCUCCAGGGCUCCCACGUGCAUGCUUUAGCUUCUCUACCUGUCAAACAGGAAGAGAAAGCCCCUCUGAGCUCUCCCACAGCAGGCCGGAGUCUGGCUGAGGCUCCAGGAAGGUCGUGCUGGUGAAAUCGGAGCGCCCGAGGCCGACAGCACAGCGCUGCUGAUGGAGACAAAGAGGCCCUGCUUCCUGGAAGACGAGACCGAGACCGCUGAGGCUGGGAGAAGUGAAGUGACUCUCUGUGUCCAGACCAGGUGCUCCCCAUUCUGCACUGACCUCGCAUUUAUGAAGAGCAGCCAUAUGUGGGAGCUGGACACUGACUGUGGGCGCUGCUGGUCACCUGCUCUCACAUGCCUGCCCCAUGCAUACAAAGUGAAUUCUCCCAGCAUGAAUAUACUGUACAUUAGUCCAGUUCAAGAUAUUACCUUGCAUGCUACCAUCGACAGAAAUGUAUUAUUUCUCCCAUCAGAGAGAAGCAGGCAUCUCCCACAGGUUCUGGCGCCUCCAUCCACCGGCCUGAGCCAGCGAGAUCUGAUAGCACCCGGAGGGCACACGGAGACCACAGGACACAAACCCGGAAGCUUCCCGCGUGGGUCUGGCUUCGUUUUCGCUGAUGACCAUCACACUGUGGCUUAGAAACAACUCAAGGCGAAACAUGAUACCGGGACUUGGCAAUGGAGUAUCGGUCCUCUCUGAGGUCACCGGACUUGGUGUUGAUAUAGAAAAUCCAGCUGAAUUAUCCUGGGCUUCUCAGGGGCAGCCGUCUUUCUACCUUGCGUUAUUCUAAACAUUAAAUACUCUAAAGAAAAGGGGGAAAAAAAUAAGACAUUUGGAGAGAAAGCCGCCAAAUGCCUUCACAGCGAUUUAGCUGAACUGGAGAAGUGGCAAGGCCAGGAGGUAGAGGGAGCUUGGUCCAGGUGGCGGAAAAGGUGUCUAUUAACUAAUCAUCAUCACAGUUCAUUAAAAGGUUGCCGGAAGCCAACCUAGGCCGAAAGAGCUGUCUUUAGAAUUACAGUCAGAGAAAGGGACACUGCAUUCUUCUCCUUUCCCUGGGAUGGCUCUUCUGGGAAAGUUGACAAAGAGGUCAUUUCAUCUGCUGCUUUGUCCCUCAAUGACAAACAUCUCUGUUCUGGAAAUCUGUAAAAGAAAAGUUAUAAUUACCAAACAUAUGAAGAGAUGCUC
This is a long non-coding RNA of Tupaia belangeri chinensis (Chinese tree shrew), 2487 nucleotides long. RefSeq lists it as uncharacterized. The record is from RefSeq and is a predicted model, not a curated record. The transcript has 7 exons. Lineage: Eukaryota; Metazoa; Chordata; Mammalia; Scandentia; Tupaiidae.